RNAcentral lists this long non-coding RNA (1076 nucleotides) under Homo sapiens (human). Its description in RNAcentral is "HSALNT0304255". Lineage: Eukaryota; Metazoa; Chordata; Mammalia; Primates; Hominidae. The record is from RNAcentral.
AGAGCUUUGCCACCUGUUUUCAGGCUGCCUCUGCCUCCAAACCCUGCGGAGCCCUCCCUGCCCCGUGCUUUGAAGCAGUUUCUUUGGAAGCUGCUGCACAGGGGUUAACAACAAGCAACAACUCAGGUCGCAUUCUUGUCAACGGAAGGGAGGGCCAGGUGGAACCGCCAAGGGGGCCAUUUCUGGCUUUGCUGGAGGCUGUCAGCUUCUGGUGGGAGCCACAGCCUGAGGGCAGCCAGGAUGGCUCUGCUGGGAGGGACACCCUGCCCAACCCUGGGAGCAGGUGACGAAGGCUCCUGGAGGCAUGGUCACAUCCCUGGGUCCCAGAGGCAGGAACAAAGCCCCCAGGGCAGUGUUCAUCAAGAAAGGGCCUCCGGGUUUGUGUUUACUGGACAUGAAUUGAGCUGCUCUCCAGAGAUAAGAAAAAAAUAUUACAGCCCUGCUAUGUGGGCACCCCACGGCAGCCCCCGGGGUUAAGGGGCAGCUUUCUUUCCAAGGAAUCCCAUUGCCAAAGAUGAACCUUCAGAUGGGGAAACUGAGGACCCAGAGGAAGCAAGAGCAGCCCCAGGCCACACAACCCUCUUUUUAUUAUUCAUUCACUGACUACACUGCAGAGGUUGGACCCAUAUCUCAUUAUUUGAAUAGUAAAUUGUUUUUUCUUCCUGACCCUUGGUCUGUUGGGUCUCUCAUUGCGCCAUGCAUCCAAGAAAGAACGUUCUGAAGCUUUCCAGUGCCACCCAAUCCCUGUAUCCUACUUUAUGCUUGAAAGUAAAGCUCACGGGUUUUUUUCUACUUCGGGUUGUUUAAAUAACCACAAUCGGUCGGGAGCGGUGGCUCACGCCUGUAAUCCCAGCACUUUGGGAGGCCGAGGCGGGUGGAUCACCUGAGGUCAGGAGUUAGAGACUAGCCUGGCCAACAUGGUGAAACCCCGUCUCUACGAAAUAUACAAAAAUUAGCCGGGCGUGGUGGCGGGCCCCUGUAAUCCCAACUACUGGGGAGGCUGAGGCUUGAACCCGGGAGGCGGAGGUUGCAGUGAGCCGAGAUUGCGCCAUUGCACUCCAGCCUGGGCGACAAGA